UACGGAGGGUGCAAGCGUUAUCCGGAUUCACUGGGUUUAAAGGGUGCGUAGGCGGGUAUGUAAGUCAGUGGUGAAAUCUCGAAGCUUAACUUCGAAACUGCCAUUGAUACUAUAUAUCUUGAAUAUUGUGGAGGUUUGCGGAAUAUGUCAUGUAGCGGUGAAAUGCUUAGAUAUGACAUAGAACACCUAUUGCGAAGGCAGCUCACUACACAAAGAUUGACACUGAGGCACGAAAGCGUGGGGAUCAAACAGG
This 253-nucleotide ribosomal RNA is filed under the name uncultured bacterium. Its description in RNAcentral is "partial 16S ribosomal RNA". It matches the Rfam family "Bacterial small subunit ribosomal RNA", at positions 524 to 776 of the family's 1533-position model. The record is from RNAcentral.